This 250-nucleotide ribosomal RNA is filed under the name uncultured Nanohalarchaeota archaeon. RNAcentral describes it as "uncultured Nanohaloarchaeota archaeon partial 16S ribosomal RNA". It matches the Rfam family "Archaeal small subunit ribosomal RNA", at positions 474 to 723 of the family's 1478-position model. The record is from RNAcentral. Lineage: Archaea; Nanobdellati; Candidatus Nanohalarchaeota.
UAGCAGCACCCCAAGUGGUAGUCGUUAUUAUUGGGCUUAAAGUGUUCGUAGCCGGCUAUGCAAGUCCGCUGUGAAAUCCAUCUGCUUAACAGGUGGGCGUGCAGCGGAUACUGCAUGGCUAGGGACCGGACGGCGUCGAGGCUAUUCCCGGGGUAGGAGUGAAAUCCUAAAAUCCCGGGAGGAGCACCUGUGGCGAAAGCGCUCGACGAGUACGGAUCCGACGGUGAGGAACGAAAGCCAGAGGAGCAAA